Molecule: long non-coding RNA, 737 nt
Filed under: Phascolarctos cinereus (koala)
Lineage: Eukaryota; Metazoa; Chordata; Mammalia; Diprotodontia; Phascolarctidae
Description: lncRNA (ENSPCIG00000018259.2)
Source: RNAcentral
ACCAGUUGGAAUCCGGGUCCCUCUACUGCCAAAUCCUCAUCUUUUUUUCACUGUCUGCUCCUCAUUGUUCAGGAAGGAAAUUCAACUCAAGAUUCCCAGUCUACUACUGAAGUUGCUACUCAUCUUGUCUUCCACAGUGAGUCAGUAUGUGGGAAGAAGCCCAAGAUGCAUCAUGGGAAGGAGGUUCAGACCCUGGUCAAACAAAUCUAAGAUGAAUACAACGUUCUCUGGGACUCAACUGAAGGUACUCAACAUUGGAUCCAUGGAGCAAAAAUACUUAGCCCAUAGUGGAUCUGCAGCUGAGAACUUGAACCUUACCUCCAGACAGGUCAAGAUCUGAUUUCAGGACCAGAGAAUGAAGUCAAAGAGUUGACAGAAAAACACUGCGUGGUCAAAGAAUGGCAGCAGUGAUGAAUCAGCUGUUGGGGAGGACAAAGGUAUCAUUACUUUCCAUUUCACCAUUAUACAGAUGAGGAAACAGUAGGUAAGUGACUUGCCCAAGGUCACACAGCUUAGUAAGUGUCUGAGGGCAGAUCUGAACUAAGGUUUUCCUGACUCCAGACUUAGUACUGUAUCCACUGUACCUCCUAGCUGCCUAGGUAUUUUGUAAACUCUUAACCAUUGUGUAAGAGUGAAUUGAUUAUUAUUAUUCUCUCCCUUGUAAUUCUUGACCCUAAUGAGGAGCUUAGGUGGCAUAAUGGGUAGAGUAUUGGGUAGGCAAGCCAAACCUGGGUCCA